RNAcentral lists this ribosomal RNA (292 nucleotides) under uncultured bacterium. RNAcentral describes it as "partial 16S ribosomal RNA". The record is from RNAcentral.
GGACUACAAGGGUAUCUAAUCCUGUUUGCUCCCCACGCUUUCGCGUCUCAGCGUCAGUCAUUGUCCAGAAGGCCGCCUUCGCCACCGGUGUUCCUCUCGAUAUCUACGAAUUUCACCUCUACACCGAGAAUUCCGCCUUCCUCUCCAAGACUCAAGCUCAGAAGUCUCGAAUGCACUUCCUAGGUUGAGCCCAGGGCUUUCACAUCCGACUUUCCGAGCAGCCUACACGCGCUUUACGCCCAGUAAUUCCGAACAACGUUUGCACCCUCUGUCUUACCGCGGCUGCUGGCAC